This 164-nucleotide ribosomal RNA is filed under the name Lasiosiphon kraussianus. RNAcentral's name for it is "Gnidia kraussiana 5.8S ribosomal RNA". It matches the Rfam family "5.8S ribosomal RNA". Rfam says of the family: 5.8S ribosomal RNA (5.8S rRNA) is a component of the large subunit of the eukaryotic ribosome. It is transcribed by RNA polymerase I as part of the 45S precursor that also contains 18S and 28S rRNA. The record is from RNAcentral. Lineage: Eukaryota; Viridiplantae; Streptophyta; Magnoliopsida; Malvales; Thymelaeaceae.
AGAAUGACUCUCGGCAACGGAUAUCUCGGCUCUCGCAUCGAUGAAGAACGUAGCGAAAUGCGAUACUUGGUGUGAAUUGCAGAAUCCCGUGAACCAUCGAGUCUUUGAACGCAAGUUGCGCCCCAAGCCUUCGGGCCGAGGGCACGUCUGCCUGGGUGUCACGC